UACGAAGGGGGGCUAGCGUUGCUCGGAAUUACUGGGCGUAAAGCGCACGUAGGCGGCUUGUUAAGUCGGAGGUGAAAUCCUGGAGCUCAACUCCAGAACUGCCUUCGAUACUGGCGAGCUUGAGUUCGGGAGAGGUGAGUGGAACUGCGAGUGUAGAGGUGAAAUUCGUAGAUAUUCGCAAGAACACCAGUGGCGAAGGCGGCUCACUGGCCCGAUACUGACGCUGAGGUGCGAAAGCGUGGGGAGCGAACAGG
Molecule: ribosomal RNA, 254 nt
Filed under: uncultured bacterium
Lineage: Bacteria
Description: partial 16S ribosomal RNA
Rfam family: Bacterial small subunit ribosomal RNA
Source: RNAcentral